RNAcentral lists this ribosomal RNA (518 nucleotides) under uncultured bacterium. RNAcentral describes it as "bacterial SSU rRNA". It matches the Rfam family "Bacterial small subunit ribosomal RNA", at positions 773 to 1278 of the family's 1533-position model. The record is from RNAcentral.
ACGCAAUAGAUACCCGGGUAGUCCUGGCCGUAAACGAUGGGCACUGGGCGGUCUGCUCGCCGAUGGGCGGGCCGCCGCAGCGAAAGCGGGAAGUGCCCCGCCUGGGGAGUAUGGUCGCAAGGCUGAAACUCAAAGGAAUUGACGGGGGGCUCACACAAGCGGUGGAGUGUGUGGCUUAAUUCGAGGCCACGCGAAGAACCUCGACCCGGGUCUUGACAUGCACGGAUUAGCCGGCGGAAACGCCGAUGACGCCGAGAGGUGGAACGUGCACAGGUGCUGCAUGGCUGUCGUCAGCUCGUGUCGUGAGACGUCGGGUUUCAGUCCCGUAACGAGCGCAACCCCUGCGUCCAGUUGCCAGCGCGUGAUGGCGGGAACUCUGGACGGACUGCCGGCGUCAAGCCGGAGGAAGGCGGGGACGACGUCAAGUCCUCAUGGCCCUUAUGCCCGGGGUCUGCACACGUACGACAAUGGGCCCGGACAAAGCGCUUGCGAUGCCGCAAGGCGGAGCCAAUCGCAUC